AUGUCAAUCAAGAAACAUUAUUCUGGAGCUGAUGAUGCUGAGGCGAUUUUUUUGAAUUUCCAGUCAAAUUUUUUAGGUCGUAAAGGAUAUUUGCCCCGUUGGCGCCUUUUUUAAACUCCAUUUUAAAAAAUAAAUACAGAAAAUAAAAGAAGCUACAAAUUUAUCAUUGAUUCAAGAAGCUAAAGAUUUAUUAUUGAUUCAAGAAGCUAAAGAUUUAAAAAUACAGAAAAUAAAAGAAAAGAUUUAUCAUUGAUUCAAGAAGCUAAUCAUUGAUUCAAGAAGCUAAAGAUUUAAAAACAGAAAAUAAAAGAAGCUAAAGAUUUAUUAUUGAUUCAAGAAGCUAAAGAUUUAUUAUUGAUUCAAGAAGCUAAUCAUUGAAUCAAGAAGCUAAAGAUUUAAAAACAGAAAAUAAAAGAAGGCUAAAGAUUUAUCAUUGAUUCAAGAAGCUAAAGAUUUAUUAUUGAUUCAAGAAGCUAAAGAUUUAUCAUUGAUUCAAGAAGCUAAAGAUUUAAAAACAGAUGUUACAAGAAAAGGUAUAGUUAAAAAAAAAAUUAUUUAUAUAUUUAUCAAGAUGACACAAUUAAAUCAGGACAGAAAAAAUGUUAAUACUUUUAAAAAUUUAAUAUUCCUUUUUUUUUAGAUGAGGAUGAAAAUUUUCAAGAACCAGCUAUUAAAAAUCUAAAGCUUAAUGCGGAAGAAAAUCAUAUGAAGGUUAUGAAUAUACUAAAUUCGAUAGUUGGAGAGGAUUAUAAUUGUAUAAACAAAAAAGAUGAUGGAGUUAAGACACCAGAAAAAGCAUA
Long non-coding RNA from Gordionus sp. m RMFG-2023, 800 nucleotides. RefSeq lists it as uncharacterized. Lineage: Eukaryota; Metazoa; Nematomorpha; Gordioida; Chordodea; Parachordodidae. The record is from RefSeq and is a predicted model, not a curated record. The transcript is spliced from 8 exons.